Molecule: ribosomal RNA, 419 nt
Filed under: uncultured eukaryote
Lineage: Eukaryota
Description: bacterial SSU rRNA
Rfam family: Eukaryotic small subunit ribosomal RNA
Source: RNAcentral
CAAUAGCGUAUAUUAAAGUUGUUGCAGUUAAAACGCUCGUAGUCGGAUUUCGGGGCGGGCCGACCGGUCUGCCGUUGGGUAUGCACUGGCCGGCGCGUCCUUCCUUCCGGAGACCGUGCCUUCUCUUAACUGGGCGGGUUCGGGAAACGGAACGUUUACUUUGAAAAAUCAGAGUGUUUCAAGCAGGCAGCUCGCUCUUGCAUGGAUUAGCAUGGGAUAAUGAAAUAGGAAUUUGGUGCUAUUUCGUUGGUCUCGGGACGGGAGUAAUGAUUAAGAGGAACAGUUGGGGGCAUUCGUAUUUCAUUGUCAGAGGUGAAAUUCUUGGAUUUAUGAAAGACGAACUUCUGCGAAAGCAUUUGCCAAGGAUGUUUUCAUUAAUCAAGAACGAAAGUUGGGGGCUCGAAGAUGAUUAGAUACCA